This 809-nucleotide ribosomal RNA is filed under the name Triticum aestivum (bread wheat). RNAcentral's name for it is "partial small subunit ribosomal RNA". Lineage: Eukaryota; Viridiplantae; Streptophyta; Magnoliopsida; Poales; Poaceae. The record is from RNAcentral.
GAGUUUCUUACUCCCCGUUCCCCUAACUAUGGCUCUUUCUAAAGAAGAAUAAUAUUCUGCACUAAACUAGACGUAUACAAACCAUUUUCUUGUUAGAAGAGGAAAUUAGUAUAGUAUUUACCUUUCACAAGUUAAUCUUGUACUUUUGCACUGAGUUAACCAGAAUCAAUCAGAAGCCCUGCCUCACCUUCUUCCCGCCUCUGAGAGCUUGCUCCUUUUCCUAGGGAAGCUUUCUUAACUGGCUCCUCGGCAUACUCCACUUUUAGAGUACAUGCCAAGACAUUUCCCUGUCAUUCCCACUGAAUAGACAGCUGAAAAGGUGAUAGUUGGGGUUUUUUGGGUUGACACGGAAUGCAUUUCAACGGUCUCAUGCUAAUUGGAGACCUAAACUUUAGUGACGAAUAUAUGGACCAUAACCGGUAUUAAAUGUUCUUGUAAGACAUCAUAAUCAUUCUCCUCCUUCCCAAUUCCUAAAUGGGCCACACUCUAUAGCGUAAUAAGCUCCUUGGGAUCUACGACAGCGUCAUUUCUUAGCAGUUGUUCCCGCAAGAUCACGCAACAUCUAAGAAUAGGUUCUGAACAUAGUAAACUACUACGGUACACUUAGCGAUCUUUGUACACUUCACAUACCGAUUGGGUUAUUGCUUUCAAAGCAUUCCCCUGACCUCGUCCGAUGGUACUCUGUUUUCUAGGAGAAAGAUUUCUCUAAGCUAAGCCUUGAGAAUAUACAGGUUCCAGUUAUACCUUUAAGAAAGUCUCCAAAAGGGAAUGAAACAGGCACAGUUGUUUGUUAAGCUUUAUGGAGCUGA